AUACAGAGGGUGCGAGCGUUAAUCGGAAUUACUGGGCGUAAAGCGCGCGUAGGCGGCUUAUUAAGUCAGAUGAGAAAUCCCCGGGCUCAACCUGGGAACUGCAUCUGAUACUGGUAAGCUAGAGUUUUGGAGAGGGAAGUAGAAUUUCAGGUGUAGCAGUGAAAUGCAUAGAGAUCUGAAGGAAUACCAGUGGCGAAGGCGACUUCCUGGCCAAAAACUGACGCUGAGGUGCGAAAGCGUGGGUAGCAAACGGGAUUAGAAACCCCAGUAGUCC
RNAcentral lists this ribosomal RNA (274 nucleotides) under uncultured bacterium. Its description in RNAcentral is "partial 16S ribosomal RNA". It matches the Rfam family "Bacterial small subunit ribosomal RNA", at positions 523 to 796 of the family's 1533-position model. The record is from RNAcentral.